This 1274-nucleotide long non-coding RNA is filed under the name Olea europaea subsp. europaea. Lineage: Eukaryota; Viridiplantae; Streptophyta; Magnoliopsida; Lamiales; Oleaceae. The record is from RNAcentral.
CUCCUUCUCUCUAUCACAUACCACUGCUGGAGAUACAGUCACCACCGUCGACAGUCCUCAUGAUGUUGCCAAUGCCACUGUCAGCUACAUCCACCGUCUACCAGAUUUGGCUUUGAAACCACCAGUUGGCCCUCCUCUUCCACCCAACGCUUCUAUCUCCCUCUAUCGUUGUCAAACCUCACUCCUCCACUAGUCCAUCCGGCAAGAAACCUUAUUCCACCACUUUUUAGGGCUAAGGUUAUGGACAAGAAGGAAUUUUAAUUAAAAAGUUCCGAGUGCUAUUUAUCUGGAUUAGGAUUAUUGAAUGCGAAUUUUCGAUGGUUAAGGAAGUGAACCGUGUAAUUUAUUUGAAUUCUAGUUGAAGGCUCUGAAUGCUGUUUGUAUGGAUUCGGAUUAUUGUUUGAUUUUAUGUGGAUUUAAGGAAGUUUUUAUGGCUAAAGAAGUGAACAUUGUCAUUGAUUUGAAUUCUUGUUGAAGGUUUCGGUUGCUAUUUGUCUGGAUUCAGAUUAAUAUAUGAUUUUGUGCGGAUUUUACUAAAUUUUGACAGUUGAAGGAGUGAACUGUGUAAUUGAAGUGGUACAACAUUUAUUGACUUCACGGUGGUGGCAAGAAUAUCAAAAGCCAUAGUAAGCUUAUAGGUGAUGGUGGAGAGAAAAUUGGUUUUGGUGUUGGAUUUGGUAAUGAAGGAGAUGGAACCAUCAUAGUUUUAUCAAGUUUUUAAUGAUGGGUGGUUUUUUUAUCAGAUCUUUUGUUUAACCAGAGUUUUGGGAUGAUUGUUGGUAUUUUACAGUGUCGGUGAUUUUCUAAUCCAUGGUGAUUCUAUUGUUGGUGGUCGUGGUAAGGUGGUGCAUAUUUGAUUCGUUGGUUCUGUGGUUGCUGUGAUGGUUUUGUGAUUGGUUGUGACUUGAUAUUGAACUGGUCACAGAUAGUCACAUUUAAUACAAUUUUGGUCACAAUUAGUCACAUUGAAGAUAAAGUUGGUCAUGGUUAAUCACAGGUCUACAGUGUGUGCAAGUUUUUUAUGGUGACCCUAUGUGAUCAAGUAUGUGUCUGUUGUCACUGUUUAUGGCCAAUUUUGUGUUGAUUGUGAUCGGUUGUGACUUGAGAUUGACUUGGUCACAAGCAGCCACAGUGAAUACAAAUUUGGUCACAGUUAAUCACAAGCGUUGGAGUGGUCAUUGGAGUAGUUUGUUGGAGGCAUCGCUGAACAAUCGUCACAGUGAUCGCUGGAACAAUUGUCGAAGUGAUCGGCGGAGCUAAUGGCUCAUCUCUCU